UACGGGGGGGGCAAGCGUUGUUCGGAAUUACUGGGCGUAAAGGGCUCGUAGGUGGCCAACUAAGUCGGACGUGAAAUCCCUCAGCUCAACUGUGGGCUUGCAGCCGAUACGGGCGGGCUGGGAUUCGGUAGGGGAGACUGGAAUUCCUGGUGUAGCGGUGAAAUGCGCAGAUAUCAGGAGGAACACCGGUGGCGAAGGCGGGUCUCUGGGACAUUCCUGACACUGAGGUUCGAAAGCUCGGGGAGCAAACAGG
Molecule: ribosomal RNA, 253 nt
Filed under: uncultured bacterium
Lineage: Bacteria
Description: partial 16S ribosomal RNA
Rfam family: Bacterial small subunit ribosomal RNA
Source: RNAcentral